This 443-nucleotide ribosomal RNA is filed under the name uncultured bacterium. Its description in RNAcentral is "partial 16S ribosomal RNA". It matches the Rfam family "Bacterial small subunit ribosomal RNA", at positions 338 to 795 of the family's 1533-position model. The record is from RNAcentral.
CCUACGGGUGGCAGCAGUGGGGAAUAUUGGGCAAUGUAGGCAACUCUGAACCAGCAACGCCGCGUGAAUGAUGAAGGUCUUCGGAUUGUAAAGUUCUGUGAUGGGGGAUGAACACAAUGACGUUACCCCAAUAGCAAGCCACGGCUAACUACGUGCCAGCAGCCGCGGUAAUACGUAGGUGGUAAGCGUUAUCCGGAAUGACUGGGCGUAAAGGGUGCGUAGGUGGUUUAGUAAGUUUGCGGUGUAAUUCCGGGGCUCAACCUCGGCGCUACAGCCAAAACUAUUAGACUAGAGUGCAGGAGGGGUAGGUGGAAUGCCUGGUGUAGCGGUGGAAUGCGUAGAUAUCAGGAGGAACACCAGGGGCGAAGGCGACUUACUGGACUGUAACUGACGCUGAGGCACGAAAGCGUGGGGAGCAAACAGGAUUAGAUACCCCUGUAGUC